GCCGAGUGAAGUGUAGUCCCAGCUAUUCAGGAGGCCGAGGUGGGAGGAUCACUUGAGCCCAGGAGUUUUGUACUGGAGCACACUGUGCUGAUCGGCUCCUGCACUAAGUUCAACAUCAGUGUGGUGACCUCCCAGGAGUGGGAGACCCCCAGGUUGCCUAAGGAGGAGUGAACUGGCCCCAGUUGGAAAUACAGCAGAUCCAAACUCCUGUGCUGAUCAGUAGUGGGAUAGCACCUGUUAAUAGCCAUACUCCAGCCUGGGCAGCAUAGUGAGACAUCUGUCCAUCUCU
RNAcentral lists this signal recognition particle RNA (289 nucleotides) under Carlito syrichta (Philippine tarsier). RNAcentral describes it as "Metazoan signal recognition particle RNA (ENSTSYG00000035726.1)". It matches the Rfam family "Metazoan signal recognition particle RNA". Rfam says of the family: The signal recognition particle (SRP) is a universally conserved ribonucleoprotein. Lineage: Eukaryota; Metazoa; Chordata; Mammalia; Primates; Tarsiidae. The record is from Rfam by way of RNAcentral.